UGAUGUCUGUGAAAGUAACAUGCUAACUUUGUAUAAUGAUACUUGGAUAAUUGGUUGGUUCUACCCUUAAGGAGGAAUGAGAGAUGACUGCCUCCAUUCAAUGCCUUCUGCCUCAAGCAGGAAUUCAUAGAAUCCUUUUGUGUCCUGUAUAAACAAGGCUGUAAAGCAGCACACCAUUGUACUAUUAAGACGUUCUAGUUUUUCUGAUCAUUAAUGAGAUUGGACUGUUGCAGAUGAGUCAGAUAGUUUGGGUGCCUUGUUUAAGAACUGCAAUCUUGAUGCUGCAGUUCCUGAUUUUAUAUUUUCUUCAGAUCUCAAUAUUUAUGCAAGGUAAGGCAUGCUCACACUGCUGAGUUACCUGUGACUUCAAUUCACCUCCACAAAAAUUCAGUAAGAAAAUUUCUUUAGUUUAGCUAGUCAUAGCAUGGAAAUGGAGAGCAAAGAAAAUGGGGGGGGGGAUGAGAGGGGGUGUUACCCUUCUUGACAUUGGCUGGAGCAGAAGUUAAUUAACCUACACCUUUUAAAAUCCUUAGAAGGGUAGCCAUAUGGAGCUUGCCAGGAGCAUCCCAAGCCCUAGGAACUAUAAGAAAAAUUAUCGAGCCCCCUCACACUCCAGGAUCUAUGCUCGUGGACACCCACACGCAGGAAGGCCCCUAGCAGCAGAGAAUUGCAAACUUUUUGCUGGGGUCUGAGGCGCGGAAUAGAGAGGUUGGCGUAGGGAGCAAAGGGGCAGCUCCCUAGGACAAGACAGCCCAUGGAGGAUGCAGGAACGUUUCCGCCCCCCUUUGAUACAGCCCGCGGGUUUUUUAAUUAUGCUCCAUAGGCGACGUGACGCAAACACGCUCGGAUUCAUGACGUCAUGUCACAAACGACACUAGCGUCACAAAGCAGAAAUUUGAAGUCUCUCUCCCCUCACUUAUUUUCUCCGGUUCCGGUGGGUUUUCCCCGCCAUUUAGUCUGCGGGUAGGGGUCGGUUUUCUGUCCAGACGCCCUGCAACUUGAGUCCUCCCGGCCAGGCCAUACCCCCAAAGCCAGCGCCCCUAGGCAGAGCCUCUUGCCCGCGCCAGUCGGCUUCCUUCUCCAGGAGACUUGGGAAGGGAGUUGGUUUGCCAGGGAAUCGGGGCUACCGCCGCCCCGCAGAGCAACGCACGCAGCGAGCGCCGAAGGACCGGGCAGCGAGCGCCGAAGGACCGGGCACUGGCGCUGACGACGCCUCAGGGGGUCCGGGCGGGGACAAGCGUGUGACGGGGCGCCUGGGAUGGCAGGUACGGCGCGGAGCUGGGCUCAGACGAUGCCUCCGGCGACUGAAUAAUCCCUCGCCCUAACCCUAGCCAGGCCUCAUCGCCCUACGGCUGAGCCGAGCGGCGGUUGGUUCACCACAGCCCCGGUACCGCAGCCCGCCCAGCAGGGGGGACCCGGCUCUUACCCAGCUCCCUCUCCAUUGCUGGCCGCAGGCGCUUGGGGUCCUGCCGGCUUAGCCCCGCCUCCUGUGGCCGGCACUCGAUUCGGCCUGGGCCUCGGGGCGCAAGGAUCCGGGAUUCCCCUCGCAACAGCGGUUACGCCUGUGCGGCAGCGCAGCGUCUCGUGACUACCUUCUCGGCCGGGAGCCAUCUUGCUCCGCGAAAGAACUAGUUCCUAGUUCUUGCUGCUUCCUUCCCAGGUGCCAGGGCGGGAAACCCCGCUGAGGGCCCAGUUGGCCACACCGCGGCCCGCCCAGCAGCCGAGCCUCAGGAAACGCAGCCGCGCGGUAGCAAGGCCGGGAGAGGCCUCGCUGGCACGUGGAGGGGCAGGUGCGGCUGAGCCAGGCCCGUGGCAGCAGGGUGAUGGGGCAGGAAGACGGAUUAAUACCCCAGCCCCCGCGAAAUGGCAAUUUAAGGGAAAAUAUUAACGGGUCACCAUAAACCCAGUGCGCGCUACUAUCGCUACCCUACGUCACCCCAGGGAGCUGGGGCGGCGGCAUCACUGCAGCGUUCAGGGAGCUGCCCUGUCCCCUUCCGCGGGGAAGUGUCCGUUUAGGGCCAGGGCCGGGGAGAGGAAGCGCUGCCCGCUCCAGCCCUUACCCUUGUUAAAAAACGCUUAACGGGGCACGAGCCCUGAGCCUAGAAUUGUGUUAAAAGGGGGUGAGCGCCCGGCCCUAAAACAACUUUGCCCCGUAUUUUUACAUUCUUAAACAAGCAGCACGGAGCCUGGUUUAAUGCCCCAACUGCAGCCUUAAGAAUAAAUGGGAAAUUACGUUCCACGCCGCCCGUUAGCCAAGCGAAGAUGAAGGCAGGCAGUAAAGAAGCUGUAGAAAUUGGCACAGGCUGGGUAGAGGAGGGAGUUUUAACACCUUUACAACACAAACAAUUAUAAUGAACGCUUUAAGGUAAAGAAACAUGUAGUCAUAGAAGCAAAGUCAAAUCUCUAUUAUAAGGUGUAAGCCUAAAUGUUUUAAAGAGACUGUUGUUUCUAGAGCAGUUGUUAAAAGGAGUAAAAUUGAUAACUAUUAAAAAAAAAUU
Dermochelys coriacea (leatherback sea turtle) is the source of this 2498-nucleotide long non-coding RNA. RefSeq lists it as uncharacterized. Lineage: Eukaryota; Metazoa; Chordata; Testudines; Dermochelyidae. The transcript is spliced from 2 exons. The record is from RefSeq and is a predicted model, not a curated record.